UCCAGAGAUGGACUGGUGCCUUCGGGAACUGUGAGACAGGUGCUGCAUGGCUGUCGUCAGCUCGUGUUGUGAAAUGUUGGGUUAAGUCCCGCAACGAGCGCAACCCUUAUCCUUUGUUGCCAGCGGUCCGGCCGGGAACUCAAAGGAGACUGCCAGUGAUAAACUGGAGGAAGGUGGGGAUGACGUCAAGUCAUCAUGGCCCUUACGACCAGGGCUACACACGUGCUACAAUGGCGCAUACAAAGAGAAGCGACCU
This 256-nucleotide ribosomal RNA is filed under the name Salmonella enterica subsp. enterica serovar Weltevreden. RNAcentral describes it as "partial 16S ribosomal RNA". It matches the Rfam family "Bacterial small subunit ribosomal RNA", at positions 999 to 1255 of the family's 1533-position model. RNAcentral also lists the same sequence under 3 other names. Lineage: Bacteria; Pseudomonadati; Pseudomonadota; Gammaproteobacteria; Enterobacterales; Enterobacteriaceae. The record is from RNAcentral.